UACGAAGGGGGCUAGCGUUGCUCGGAAUGACUGGGCGUAAAGCGCGCGUAGGCGGCUUUGUAAGUUAGAGGUGAAAGCCCGGGGCUCAACUCCGGAACUGCCUUUAAGACUGCAUCGCUUGAAUCCGGGAGAGGUGAGUGGAAUUCCGAGUGUAGAGGUGAAAUUCGUAGAUAUUCGGAAGAACACCAGUGGCGAAGGCGGCUCACUGGACCGGUAUUGACGCUGAGGUGCGAAAGCGUGGGGAGCAAACAGG
Molecule: ribosomal RNA, 253 nt
Filed under: uncultured bacterium
Lineage: Bacteria
Description: partial 16S ribosomal RNA
Rfam family: Bacterial small subunit ribosomal RNA
Source: RNAcentral